UGGGGAAUAUUGGACAAUGGGGGGAACCCUGAUCCAGCCAUGCCGCGUGUGUGAAGAAGGCCUUAUGGUUGUAAAGCACUUUAAGCGAGGAGGAGGGUACUGGUAUUAAUACUACCAGGUACUGGACGUUACUCGCAGAAUAAGCACCGGCUAACUCUGUGCCAGCAGCCGCGGUAAUACAGAGGGUGCGAGCGUUAAUCGGAUUUACUGGGCGUAAAGCGUGCGUAGGCGGCUAAUUGAGUCGGAUGUGAAAUCCCCGAGCUUAACUUGGGAAUUGCAUUCGAUACUGGUUAGCUAGAGUGUGGGAGAGGAUGGUAGGAUUCCAGGUGUAGCGGAGAAAUGCGUAGAGAUCUGGAGGAAUACCGAUGGCGAAGGCAGCCAUCUGGCCUAACACUGACGCUGAGGUACGAAAGCAUGGGGAGCAAACAGG
RNAcentral lists this ribosomal RNA (430 nucleotides) under Pseudomonadota bacterium. Its description in RNAcentral is "Proteobacteria bacterium partial 16S ribosomal RNA". It matches the Rfam family "Bacterial small subunit ribosomal RNA", at positions 355 to 776 of the family's 1533-position model. Lineage: Bacteria; Pseudomonadati; Pseudomonadota. The record is from RNAcentral.